This 301-nucleotide ribosomal RNA is filed under the name uncultured bacterium. RNAcentral's name for it is "partial 16S ribosomal RNA". It matches the Rfam family "Bacterial small subunit ribosomal RNA", at positions 509 to 807 of the family's 1533-position model. The record is from RNAcentral.
CAGCAGCCACGGUAAUACGUAGGGUGCAAGCGUUAAUCGGAAUUACUGGGCGUAAAGCGUGCGCAGGCGGUUAUAUAAGACAGAUGUGAAAUCCCCGGGCUUAACCUGGGAACUGCAUUUGUGACUGUAUAGCUAGAGUACGGCAGAGGGGGAUGGAAUUCCGCGUGUAGCAGUGAAAUGCGUAGAUAUGCGGAGGAACACCGAUGGCGAAGGCAAUCCCCUGGGCCUGUACUGACGCUCAUGCACGAAAGCGUGGGGAGCAAACAGGAUUAGAUACCCCCGUAGUCCCUGUCUCUUAUAC